This 95-nucleotide transfer RNA is filed under the name compost metagenome. Its description in RNAcentral is "tRNA-Sec". It matches the Rfam family "Selenocysteine transfer RNA". The record is from RNAcentral.
GGGGGCAGAUAGGCUCCGGUGGGCUUCGCGGACUUCAACUCCGUCGUGGGGCACUCAGUGUCUCAGGUGGGUUCGACCCCCAUCUGUCCCCGCCA